GACGGGGCCCGCACAAGCGGUGGAGCAUGUGGUUAAUUCGAAGCAACGCGAAGAACCUUACCAGGCCUUGACAUGCAGAGAACUUUCCAGAGAUGGAUUGGUGCCUUCGGGAACUCUGACACAGGUGCUGCAUGGCUGUCGUCAGCUCGUGUCGUGAGAUGUUGGGUUAAGUCCCGUAACGAGCGCAACCCUUGUCCUUAGUUACCAGCACGUUAUGGUGGGCACUCUAAGGAGACUGCCGGUGACAAACCGGAGGAAGGUGGGGAUGACGUCAAGGUCAUCAUGGCCCUUACGGCCUGGGCUACACACGUGCUACAAUGGUCGGUACAAAGGGUUGCCAAGCCGCGAGGUGGAGCUAAUCCCAUAAAACCGAUCGUAGUCCGGAUCGCAGUCUGCAACUCGACUGCGUGAAGUCGGAAUCGCUAGUAAUCGUGAAUCAGAAUGUCACGGUGAAUACGUUCCCGGGCCUU
This 470-nucleotide ribosomal RNA is filed under the name uncultured Pseudomonas sp. RNAcentral's name for it is "bacterial SSU rRNA". It matches the Rfam family "Bacterial small subunit ribosomal RNA", at positions 916 to 1381 of the family's 1533-position model. The record is from RNAcentral. Lineage: Bacteria; Pseudomonadati; Pseudomonadota; Gammaproteobacteria; Pseudomonadales; Pseudomonadaceae.